This 423-nucleotide ribosomal RNA is filed under the name uncultured archaeon. RNAcentral describes it as "partial 16S ribosomal RNA". It matches the Rfam family "Archaeal small subunit ribosomal RNA", at positions 323 to 746 of the family's 1478-position model. The record is from RNAcentral.
CUACGGGUUGCUGCAGUUGAGAAUCUUUUGCAAUGCACGAAAGUGUGACAGAGCGAGCCAGAGUGUUUACCUUUUUUGAUAAACUUUUAUUAACUGUAAAAAAGUUGACGAAUAAGGACUGGGUAAGACCGGUGCCAGCCGCCGCGGUAAUCCCGGCGGUCCAAGUCGCAGCCACAAUUAUUGGGUCUAAAACAUCCGUAGCUUGUUUUGCAAGUCUCUUGUGAAAUCUCAUUUCUCAAAUAUGAGGCGGGCAAGAGAUACUGCAUUACUAGAGACAGGAGGGUGUAAGGAGUACGGUUGAGGUAGUGGUAAAAUACGUUGAUCUUAACUGGACUAACAACCGCGAAGGCACCUUACAAAUACUGUUCUGACAGUGAGGGAUGAAGGCUAGGGGCGCAAAACGGAUUAGAUACCCGAGUAGUC